UUUUUUUUUAUAUAAAAAUAAUUAAAUUGUCUUGUAAUCAAUUGAAAGGGGGGCAGUACCCCUAUUGGGCU
This 71-nucleotide transfer RNA is filed under the name Annulohypoxylon stygium. Its description in RNAcentral is "tRNA-Thr". Lineage: Eukaryota; Fungi; Ascomycota; Sordariomycetes; Xylariales; Hypoxylaceae. The record is from RNAcentral.